CCAAGACAGUUUUGGAAAUAGGCUCAAGUAAAUAGAUUCUGAGUGGUGAUUUCAUUCAUUCUUUCACUUCAGCAGAAAUUGAAUCAGGUCCCCGGACAAGCAGAAGCUUGACUAUUGGUAUAAAUGAGAUAAAUUCAGUUAGAAUAUAUCAGAAGAAACCCAUGUCUCAUCAGUGCGU
Long non-coding RNA from Oxyura jamaicensis (ruddy duck), 178 nucleotides. RefSeq lists it as uncharacterized. The transcript has 3 exons. The record is from RefSeq and is a predicted model, not a curated record. Lineage: Eukaryota; Metazoa; Chordata; Aves; Anseriformes; Anatidae.